AGAUUUAAAUCUGAUUUAAUUUUCUAAUCAAAUUAGAAAUUAGAUUGACCCAAGUCCUAGUUGAACUAGGACUAGUUUUUUCUUGCACUUGGCUUAUCCAAUAAACCAAUUAGACUUGAUCCAAUCAAACCCAAACUAAAUCUAAUUAAAUUAUAUUUAAUUAGACUUAAUCUCAACCCAUUGGCUUAAUCAAAUUAAGCCAAUUAGCAAUCGAAUUGCUAAUUGAUCCUCCUGCAACACUUGCACUGGGUUAAAUGUCAAUCGUAUUGAUCAUUUAACCCUAGAACGAUUCUUAAUCAUUGAUCAACCAUCCGAUUGGAUCAUGAACUCUAAUGUAUGUGAUCUCAUAGGUCCGAACCUAAGCCAGUAGCAUAGGAAUAAAUUCUUAUACCAAUCAAAGUGACCAUCUAGCAAUGGUACCCGAC
RNAcentral lists this long non-coding RNA (425 nucleotides) under Elaeis guineensis (African oil palm). Its description in RNAcentral is "long non-coding RNA (EGUI_LNC068113)". Lineage: Eukaryota; Viridiplantae; Streptophyta; Magnoliopsida; Arecales; Arecaceae. The record is from RNAcentral.